Long non-coding RNA from Monodelphis domestica (gray short-tailed opossum), 963 nucleotides. NCBI's taxonomy places the organism in Eukaryota, Metazoa, Chordata, Mammalia, Didelphimorphia, Didelphidae. The record is from Ensembl.
AUGAAGCGAUUCCCCGAACGGAGCAGAGGUCCGGCCCACGGCGGCUCCCCAGCCAGCCCCAGCUUCCCCAAGGCCUUCUGCUUGUUCCCUCUCUCCCGAAGGCCGAGAUGUCCGGCUCCCUCGUCCCGGUUCUCCUCUUCGCCGCCGCCCUGGUUCCUGGUAAGUUGUCUCCGGGGGCGCGCAGGGAAGCCUGCCGAGAGGCGCAGCUGCUUUCCUGCCUGCCCCACUUCUUUCUCCGCCCCUGCAGCUGGCCGGACGGCCGUCGCCCUGGAGCAGAGGCCCAUCUCCCUCACCCGAAAUGCCAAGCAGUCCGCCAGUCUGAACUGCAAGAUUCUGAACCCCGUCUCCGAUUACGUCCACUGGUACCGCUCCCAGGAGGGCAGGGCCCCCGAGCGGCUGCUCGUCUACUCCAGGAGCAAGUCCGAGUCCGUCCCGGACCCAGGAUUCAGCGCGGACAAAGUGCGGGCUUACAAAGGGAAGGACGACACCUGUAGACUGAUAGUGAGUGACCUGCAGGUGAGCGACUCUGGGGUGUAUCACUGCGCCAGCUGGGACGGACCACAGCGGCAGGCGCGCCGCAGCCCCCCAGCACAAAAUCUCCUCCGCGAUAGCUGGCGCUUCCAGCCAAGCCCCCAAGUCAGUAAAGGCUGGGCCCCCGGAGCCUUCACUGCACUUCAAGCCCCAGGACAAGCCCGGGAACGUUGGCCAAAUGCUGGAGAGCUGGCGUCCCCGAGCUCACCUGUCCUGUGCCCACAUGAAGCAGGAGGUCUCUGUCACAGGCAUUCAGGGUGACUCGGCUCGAAUCACCUGUCAGGUCUCUAAUGCUGUUUCCUACUGGAUACACUGGUACCGGUUUCAGGAUGGGAAGCCCCCACAGCGCCUUCUCUGCUUGUCCCGGGAAUCAGGCGAGCUGCGUUUUGAUGAGGGCUUUGGCAGUAAUAAAUUCCAUGCUUUUAAGGAUCA